RNAcentral lists this ribosomal RNA (465 nucleotides) under Vreelandella stevensii. RNAcentral's name for it is "partial 16S ribosomal RNA". It matches the Rfam family "Bacterial small subunit ribosomal RNA", at positions 338 to 795 of the family's 1533-position model. The record is from RNAcentral. Lineage: Bacteria; Pseudomonadati; Pseudomonadota; Gammaproteobacteria; Oceanospirillales; Halomonadaceae.
CCUACGGGUGGCAGCAGUGGGGAAUAUUGGACAAUGGGCGAAAGCCUGAUCCAGCCAUGCCGCGUGUGUGAAGAAGGCCUUCGGGUUGUAAAGCACUUUCAGUGGGGAAGAAAGCCUUGGGGCUAAUACCCUCGAGGAAGGACAUCACCCACAGAAGAAGCACCGGCUAACUCCGUGCCAGCAGCCGCGGUAAUACGGAGGGGGCGAGCGUUAAUCGGAAUUACUGGGCGUAAAGCGCGCGUAGGCGGUCUGAUAAGCCGGUUGUGUAAGCCCCGGGCUCAACCUGGGAACGGCAUCCGGAACUGUCAGGCUAGAGUGCAGGAGAGGAAGGUAGAAUUCCCGGUGUAGCGGUGAAAUGCGUAGAGAUCGGGAGGAAUACCAGUGGCGAAGGCGGCCUUCUGGACUGACACUGACGCUGAGGUGCGAAAGCGUGGGUAGCAAACAGGAUUAGAUACCCGUGUAGUC